AAAAUGCACAUAUUCAGUAUAGACAAAAAUUAAUACUAUUAAUUAACAGCAAACAGUAACUAGCUGCAUAGGUAAUUAGCUAUAUAAUUAAAUGCGGUCCAAAAGGAGCAUUUAAUUAUAUAACUAGGUUUCAUGCUACACUCACUACCAAUUUCUACCUAGUCAUAGCUUGAACUAAUUGUUUGGAACACUGGUUCAAAUGUUUUUUGUAUAAUUAACACAAGCCACAAAACAACUGCCUUUUGCUGGUUAGCAAAAUCCAUUUUUAAAAUAUAAUCAUUUUUUCAAAACUGCAAAUUUAUUCUUAAAAAUCGCCUCAAGAAUGUACAUACAGACUUGCAGGCAAGCACGCAAAUUUGACAAGGAUGAUUUCAGUUUAAAAAGUAGGUAAUAGCUCCAGACAAUCAUACUGACAUGUCUGGCUUUUUAAGGCAUGUCAACAAAUCGUUGUCAGACUCUUGACCAGCAUAGCCCACUACAGCUCUUUCUUAAUGUGGCAAAGAGUCACAUUUUCCACAUCAAAUACGAGCUGAACUAGUAGGUGGUGCCGUGGGAGUGGGGUACUACACACACUAUCUAAGCAGUGGAGAUUUCAGUCGGCGAUCAAUAGUCCUCACUUUUGCUGAUUAACCGUCUGUUAUCUGCAGUUUUCUGUCUGGCUCACGGUGAAUUUUGCAUGACACACACGCUUAAUGUGCAUUGGGUGUUGCCGCGGCGAAGGGCUAGGGUGUGUAAUACGCGUGUCAUUUCUUGUUUUAUUUUCACAGUGAUGACCAGCAUGUGGGAACACGGGAAAACAUAGCGCCAGCCAAAUCCCGCAGGGGAAAGGGGCCUGUUGAAGAUCCGUCCACUCCCGGGGGUGAUAACAUUUAUGUUAACAGUGAGACACCAUAUUUUGAA
Molecule: long non-coding RNA, 900 nt
Organism: Anguilla anguilla (European eel)
Lineage: Eukaryota; Metazoa; Chordata; Actinopteri; Anguilliformes; Anguillidae
Exons: 3
Source: RefSeq, a predicted model, not a curated record